RNAcentral lists this long non-coding RNA (504 nucleotides) under Junco hyemalis (dark-eyed junco). Its description in RNAcentral is "lncRNA (ENSJHYG00000014332.1)". Lineage: Eukaryota; Metazoa; Chordata; Aves; Passeriformes; Passerellidae. The record is from RNAcentral.
AUUUCAAACAGAAUUCUGAUGUGACAUGAGCACAGUUGCUGCUAUUGAUGUGAAAAUCUGCUUUGUUUUCCACAGAUUGGUGAUGCUUUUGUGGAGCUGGGCUCGUUGGCCUGGAUUCUGCAGCUCUGGCUGCAGGGGAUGGGUUUUGCUUGGACAUCCCAAACCUUGCUCUCCCUUUCACUAAACACAGGGAGAGCCUUAAUGGGUCUGGCUGAGCUGUGUGCAAGCAGGCACAAACAAUUUCAUCGUGUCCAGGCUGUUCAACUACUAAUUGUGAUAUUCCAGAUUUUCAGAGUUUCAUGCUGGUGCAGUAGGAUUUCCUGCGCAGUGGAGCAGAAUUGGGUCUGUGAGCUGAGCCAUGGACCUCUUCCAUCAGUAGAAGUGAAGAAAAAGCCUUUGACAGUGACUACAAGUCUUUGGAGUGACAGAAAACAUUGCUUGGACCCCUUGAAGAUCUGUGAUGAUAAAGAUUAUUCUUUUUACCUGUGUUAUUUAACAGGCUGA